RNAcentral lists this ribosomal RNA (468 nucleotides) under uncultured bacterium. RNAcentral's name for it is "partial 16S ribosomal RNA". It matches the Rfam family "Bacterial small subunit ribosomal RNA", at positions 28 to 507 of the family's 1533-position model. The record is from RNAcentral.
GACGAACGCUGGCGGCGUGCUUAACACAUGCAAGUCGAACGGAAACGCCCUGCUUUGGUGCGGUGCUCGAGUGGCGAACGGGUGAGUAACACGUGAGUAACCUGCCCGUGGCUUUGGGAUAACUUCAGGAAACUGGGGCUAAUACCGGAUAGGAGCUCCUGCUGCAGGGUGGGGGUUGGAAAGUUUCGGCGGUUGGGGAUGGACUCGCGGCUUAUCAGCUUGUGGGUGGUGUAGUGGCUUACCAAGGCUUUGACGGGGAGCCUGCCUGAGAAGGUGACCGGCCCCCUUGGUCCUGCGAUACGGAGCAGACGGCUACGGGAGGCAGUAGUGGGGAAUAUUGCACAAUGAGCGGAAGUCUGAGGCAGAAACGUUGGGUGUGGGAUGACGGCCUUCGCGUUGUGAAACGCUUUCGCCUAUGACGAUGCGUGAGUGACGGUAAUGGGUAAAGAAGCACCGGCUAACUACGUG